Molecule: unclassified non-coding RNA, 363 nt
Filed under: fungal sp.
Lineage: Eukaryota; Fungi
Description: partial internal transcribed spacer region
Rfam family: Eukaryotic small subunit ribosomal RNA (bases 1-46)
Source: RNAcentral
AAGUCGUAACAAGGUUUCCGUAGGUGAACCUGCGGAAGGAUCAUUACCAAAUCCAAAUUUCCUUAACCCCAUGUGAACUAUUGUUGUUAGUCUUGUCUUUGGGAGAAAAAGAGAGAAAAUCUUUUGUAUUAUUAAAAAUUAGGAGAUCUAAAUAGAUUUUCUUGCUUUUAAUAAAACAAAAAAAUCUUUUCAAUUCUCUUUUUCUCCCAAAGGAAUCCGGCAUCAUAUUUUUAUGAUGCUUUCUGUGAUUCCUUGAAACAACCCUUUUUCUAAACCACUUUUUAAUUUUAUUUGUUUGGAACUUUUUAUUAUUAAAACUAAUAAUAAUGAAACAACUUUUAACGGUGGAUCUCUUGGCUCGUG